CUCACAAAGCAGAACGCCGCGUGAGCCUUGUGGUGGAGCGCGUCACCGCAGUGGAACCCCACACUGCUCAAGGAUAUGACGGAGAUGUUGUUCUGAUGAUACGUGAAGGCUCCUAAAGCCUAACCCCGGACUAGCUUCCUCUCUCAAGGACACUCGGAUUCCUCGCGCGUCGUAGACGUAAUUCAUCCGCCCGCGGGGCGGUUACAAGCGCUCAACAUUAGCCAUCAGAAGAGACGGAGAGAAAAAGGAACCCAUUGAGGUGUUAAAACACUGCAGAGCUUUCUACCGCAUCUCUCCUUCACUGAAAUACACAAUAGAUAAAAGAGGAGUUCCUCUGCACACGUCACACGUCCCGCGAGGGGCUCGUCUGACACGGGGACCCGUGGGAAGGUCACGGUGGUUACGCGUUAACACAACAGGUGACUCGCCGUGACUCAGUGAGCCACGUUCUGCCGACACGCCGUCACACUUGACAUUUCCUGAGUGAGAUAAUUCACGAGCCGUAUCUCAGCGACACGCCUGGAGGGAGCGUCAGUCCGCUGCGGAGCCGGAGCCGCCGCCACCAUCAUACGAUGUCGCUCGAGUCGGGGUCAACUUCCUCGCCGGGGGGGGGGGAGUAGAUGGCGAUAAGUGACCCGCCUGAUUGGUUGUGCGUCCGUUGAUGCUGCCUGCGUCGCAUCACAGCAACGGCACUGAAGCAGCCGUGUUUCGGGAGGACGAGGACGUCUCUGAGGACGAUUGUAUGAAGGUCAAAUCCUGCUGUGGAAAGUUAAAAGUUUCCAAAGAAAGUCCGAAGAGAAGCUCAGAAAUAGGUUUGGCCCGACUGCGACUGGGCGUAGAUUACUGUCAUCACACCAGAGCUGUGUCUCACACACACACACACACACACACACACACACACACAAGGAGUUCAGUCUAUUAUCUGCUCAUCGAGGUGCUCUUGUCAUACAUCUUCUCUCUCCUCGUCUUCACCUCACUCAGGAGGGUGGAGGGGACGGGUGGGGGGGACGGGUGGGGGGGCCGAGGGGAGGAAGCCUUGAAUGACGACAGUCGGCGAGCGCUCCUCCACCCCUCCGUCUUUCAGUGGGUUUCAUCAGCGAUUGGGCCGAUCGGGCGGAUUGGAGGAGGCUCCGUCUCUCCGUGUGACCGACCUCAUCUCCUGAUUUUCAUCACGGCUUUUCCUCUCUUUUAUUAGUGCUGCUGCAUCUCGUAUCCAACGGGGCCGAUUGCUGGAGACAAUCUUCUUAUUUAAAUGCCCUCUUUUUCUCCUGUACGUGUCUGGAGUAACUACCAACCACAAACUGUCAAAUUAGACACAAGCAGUCACUGGAAUCUACCCGGUACAAUUCAUUUUUUCAAAAGUGAGUCAUGAGUCACAUGACUCACACCCUUCUGAUAUAUUAUUUUACUUUUCAGUGGGUUUUAUUCAAAGCAGUCCUCAAAUCUAUACUUUAGUUUCCAUUUACCAUAUAAAGAAACAGCAUCUCCAAAAUAUCGAAUCCAGAGUGUGUGUGUGUGUGUGUGUGUGUGUGUGUGUGUGUGUGUGUGUGUGUGUCCGAGAGAGAGCGACUUCAGUGGGUCUCGUUUGUUUACGGUGAGAUUUGUUAAUUAACAGGGUUUCCCUGUAAUUCAAAUACACACUUGACACCUUUUGAAGCAGUACAAUAAUAUUUAGUCGCAUAUCAAACACAGUGGCUCAUUUAAACAUGAAUUUCAUAGCACAGAUUUUUUUUUAUUUAAAUAAGUAAUCAGAACAGAAGACAAAUAAAACAGUAUAUGAAAUAAAAGGAGGAGCAUCAUGAUUGAUGUACAAGUUGAGUCUCACGCUGCUGGUUUGAGUGGACACUAAGUGUGUGUGUGUGUGUGUGUGUGUGUGUGUGUGUGUGUGUGGGGCCAGGAGGCCUCUGGGGUCAAUUUGAACAGGAUGUGAAGUCUCUCUUUAAGUUUUGACGGACAGUAAUAUCGUUAUUUCUUAUAAUGAUGUUACCAAUUCAUAUUCUUACCAAUAUAUUUUAAUUUUUAGUUUAAUUAAACCAUUAACUAUCUACCCAAUGUGCUCAUAUGUUAACAUUGUAUGUUUACAACCUGUAUCUUCCUCUGCUGGUGUGUGUUCAUUGGUACUGUGUCUCCGUCAGGUCACCUGAGCUAUGAUACUGUCAGUAAUGUGUGUGUGUGUGUGUGUGUGUGUGUGUGUGUGUGUGUGUGUGUGUGUAGCUCGACUGAUGACAUCAUCGGCUUUCUUCACUUCAGGAUCGUAGAGGUUUUGAUUCUCUGUCACAGUGUUAUACAAGGACGUUGGCCUCUAUACUGGAGACACACACACACACACACACACAGGUCAAUUUAAAGACCCAUUAUCUGUGUGUGUGUGUGUGUGUAAUAGCCAUGCUAUUACAGGGUAAUGGACAGGUUGUUUAGAGGUGUGAUUGAUGUGUGUAUCUCAUGUCCUUUUUGUUCUGUGUACCUGUGUGUGUGUGUGUGUGUGUGUGUGUGUGUGUGUUAAAUUGUUUUCAGUUUCUGAUGUAAACAAGAGAAUGACCCCCGUGAUUGGUCGGGCAGGUCCAGCGAUGAUUCAAUGUCCACAGCGACAUCAUUGUUCUUCAUGAACAGUGAAAAAUUUUUAUCUUUCUUUUUCUCUCCCAUGACUCUUAUUAUAUUUCCCUUAUUAUGAGCGCUGAGCUAAACACACACAGCUGCAGUUGUAGUUUCUCCAGACUGGACCAAAGGUCUAUUUUCACUAGGUAGCAAAAUGAUCAUAAACAUCUCUGUAUUUCCUCCCUCGGUCUCAAUCUGCUGCGUCAGCUCUUUUGUUUUUCUAUAUAUUUUUGGUCCUUUAUUUGAAUCCCACCCAAAUGGGCUGGAGAUGAAUCACAGGAAUCUAAUAACGAAAGAGCAGACGUGAUGGAUCAUUUCUUCUCCGCGUACUACGAGGACCAAUCGCUGUAGUGCUGCAAACACCAGGAAGAAGGGAAAGGACACAGCUGUGGUUCCAGAGAGGACCUCCAUAUUUAUCUCUUCAAUAUGUGACCCCGUCUGCUUGGAGAUGAAUGUCACUAAUUUGCCCUUCCAGUUGUUGUUUGUAUGAAAAACAUCAUUUGUGCCUGCAUUGUGUUCACCGGCUGCAUCUUGUGCACAGAAUGAGGCUUUCAGGUGCACGGCGUGCGUUCACGGGGUGAAGGUGGGCGUGCAGAGCGCAGCACUCUGACACCGGACGCCACAUUCUGCGUAGUUUAUGCAACAAAACUAAAGGAAAUCACUUUGGAAGAUGAGCCACAGAUGCCAGAUGGAUAUUUUCCACAUUAUGCCGAUUGAUGGUCGACCGUCCCUUUGACCCGCUCGGCAGAACGACUAUUCUCCUGCAAACAGAACAGCACUCGUACGGUAAAAGGUUUGUGUGUGUGUGUGUGUGUGUGUGUGUUAGAGGCAGGGUGUUAAUCACUAGUCCGUCCCGCUAAUACAGAGAGCAUCAUUGCAAUCAGCCUCAAAACCAAUUAAUUCAACAUCUGCUCUGAUCCAAUUUGCCUCUUCCGUGUUUUGACGAUGUAUCCACACACAAUUAUUCCCUUAAUCUGAUGAGAACAAUUAGCCUCCUCGCCGCGGCGUCGCCGCCUUGUUACGGAGCGUCGCUCAUCCGCAUCGCAGCAGUCCGACCGGCUCGCGGCGGCUGUCUCUCGCCGCGUUUUCCUCUUCACGACGACGAGUGCGCUUCGGUGGACUUUCAGAGCUGUUUCCUUAAUCAGUCGUUGUUGCUUUUGUGCUCUUUAUAUAUGUAUAUAUGUAUGUAUGUAUGUAUGUAAAUGCAUCCGGCGCUACAUUAAACGGAACCCUGCGGUGUCGACCUCGUCUCAUCAGUGUGUGUGUGGCCGGGCACAACAACCAUAACUCUCCGUUAUUCAUCAGGCGCUUUGAGCCUGGACGGAGCGCUGAGUGACGCACACAAUCCUACCGUGGUGGCACUGUGAUGUGUGUGUGUGUGUGUGUGUCACCCGCUGGGCCAUAAGUCAGCGCAUGUGUACGCAGGUUGAUUUAGAGAGCCAGUUUAAAUGCUAAGUCCCGACACUCGCUCAGCAGCCGUGACAGCCGCUGUGAGGACGCUGGCAUUAAUCAGGGGACAAUCAGGAGGACGCUCCUCUGGACAAACGCGCGUCAGUCAGGAUGAGGCGUUAUUAAAGUGUUGCCUUUCCUUUGGCUCCGCCUCUUGUCACUCAGCUCUGCUGACGUUGACGUGGCCCCAUUUUUCAUUUUAAACUUCAUCGAAUGUUGGACCGUUUGUUCCACGUGGAGAUCCCAGAACUUCUGUCCCGUCUCCUUCUGCCCAGUGACAAGUAGUGACAUUUGUGUCUGAACUCCCUAACAAAUACAUUAAAGGCACCAUUGUUAUUGCUAUUUGAACAAAAUAUAAAAAAGUGUUUCUUGAUAUUUUUUAAUAGAGUACUAGAAGAAAUAAUCUUAAACCUAAUAAACAUGUUUCUGGCCUUUUUCACAACCGUUUCCACCCAAACUAAGUACUGGUUGAUCUUCUCCUGCUGGAUGGGAGGACUAACGCACUCCACCUGUAUGCGGGGGCUGUGUGGGACCCCCCUGUGAGGCCAUAAGCUGCAUUGGUCACGCCAGGUGACACUAGUGCGUGUUGUCGUGGCACGGCAUCGUCAUGCUGUUAUGGAACACGCAUGUUCUCCCAUCUGCUGCACACGGGGGCGUCGACCAAGGUAACCGUCGACCCAUUUCCACCAAAACCCCCGAAGAGGAAAAGCUUCACAGCGGAGCCUCCUCUGUGACCGGCGUUCUGCUGUAGGGUGUUGCUGUUAUUCUGUCCACCCCCUGUGGAGCCUCGUUAUCUCCCUGAAGGCCCCACACAGGCCGCCCCAAACAAGCCGCCCCACACAGGCCGCCCCAAACAAGCCGCCCCACACAGGCCGCCCCAAACAGGCCGCCCCAAACAAGCCGCCCCACACAGCCUGCCCCAAACAGGCCGCCCCAAACAAGCCGCCCCACACAGGCCGCCCCACACAGCCUGCGCCACACAGGCCGCCCCACACAGCCUGCGCCACACAGGCCGCCCCACACAGGCCGCCCCACACAGGCCGUCCCACACAGCCUGCCCCAAACAGGCCGCCCCAAACAGGCCGGCGCUCCGUGAGCAUCGUACAGUCGUUUCAGGUGACAGAGGGAACGUGGCGGAUCAGCACGAGCCAAACCAAUUUGGGCUUCGCCAACCGUCGCCAAGCAGCUAAUUGCAGAUUUGCAUUUCCAUCUCGACAGAUUGAUUGCGGCAGCAGCCGAGAGACAAAUUAAAACACUGCUAAAGAGCGGAAAGAGAGACG
Long non-coding RNA from Gasterosteus aculeatus aculeatus (three-spined stickleback), 5324 nucleotides. The record is from Ensembl. Lineage: Eukaryota; Metazoa; Chordata; Actinopteri; Perciformes; Gasterosteidae.